GACGAACGCUGGCGGCGUGCUUAACACAUGCGAGUCGAACGGAAAGGCCCUGCUUUUGUGGGGUGCUCGAGUGGCGAACGGGUGAGUAACACGGGAGUAACCUGCCCUUGACUUUGGGAUAACUUCAGGAAACUGGGGCUAAUACCGGAUAGGAGCUCCUGCUGCAUGGUGGGGGUUGGAAAGUUUCGGCGGUUGGGGAUGGACUCGCGGCUUAUCAGCUUGUUGGUGGGGUAGUGGCUUACCAAGGCUUUGACGGGUAGCCGGCCUGAGAGGGUGACCGGCCACAUUGGGACUGAGAUACGGCCCAGACUCCUACGGGAGGCAGCAGUGGGGAAUAUUGCACAAUGGGCGGAAGCCUGAUGCAGCAACGCCGCGUGCGGGAUGACGGCCUUCGGGUUGUAAACCGCUUUCGCCUGUGACGAAGCGUGAGUGACGGUAAUGGGUAAAGAAGCACCGGCUAACUACGUG
Molecule: ribosomal RNA, 468 nt
Filed under: uncultured bacterium
Lineage: Bacteria
Description: partial 16S ribosomal RNA
Rfam family: Bacterial small subunit ribosomal RNA
Source: RNAcentral